Molecule: ribosomal RNA, 482 nt
Filed under: uncultured bacterium
Lineage: Bacteria
Description: bacterial SSU rRNA
Rfam family: Bacterial small subunit ribosomal RNA
Source: RNAcentral
GACGAACGCUGGCGGCGUGCUUAACACAUGCAAGUCGAACGAGAAUCUACUGAAAGAGUUUUCGGACAAUGGAUGUAGAGGAAAGUGGCGGACGGGUGAGUAACGCGUGAGGAACCUGCCUUGAAGAGGGGGACAACAGUUGGAAACGACUGCUAAUACCGCAUGAUGCAUAGGGAUCGCAUGAUUCUUAUGCCAAAGAUUUANCGCUUCAAGAUGGCCUCGCGUCUGAUUAGCUAGUUGGCGGGGUAACGGCCCACCAAGGCGACGAUCAGUAGCCGGACUGAGAGGUUGAACGGCCACAUUGGGACUGAGAUACGGCCCAGACUCCUACGGGAGGCAGCAGUGGGGAAUAUUGGGCAAUGGGCGCAAGCCUGACCCAGCAACGCCGCGUGAAGGAAGAAGGCCUUCGGGUUGUAAACUUCUUUUAUUAAGGUACGAAGAAAGUGACGGUACUUAAUGAAUAAGCUCCGGCUAACUACGUG